ACGACGCUGGCGGCGUGCCUAACACAUGCAAGUCGAGCGAAUGAAGUUCCUUCGGGAACGGAUUUAGCGGCGGACGGGUGAGUAACACGUGGGCAACCUGCCUCAUAGAGGGGAAUAGCCUUCCGAAAGGGAGAUUAAUACCGCAUAAGAUUGUAGUACCGCAUGGUACAGCAAUUAAAGGAGUAAUCCGCUAUGAGAUGGGCCCGCGGCGCAUUAGCUAGUUGGUGAGGUAACGGGCUCACCAAGGCGACGAUGCGUAGCCGACCUGAGAGGGUGAUCGGCCACAUUGGGACUGAGACACGGCCCAGACUCCUACGGGAGGCAGCAGUGGGGAAUAUUGCACAAUGGGGGAAACCCUGAUGCAGCAACGCCGCGUGAGUGAUGACGGCCUUCGGGUUGUAAAGCUCUGUCUUCAGGGACGAUAAUGACGGUACCUGAGGAGGAAGCCACGGCUAACUACGUG
Molecule: ribosomal RNA, 463 nt
Filed under: uncultured bacterium
Lineage: Bacteria
Description: bacterial SSU rRNA
Rfam family: Bacterial small subunit ribosomal RNA
Source: RNAcentral